This 63-nucleotide transfer RNA is filed under the name Heterocephalus glaber (naked mole-rat). It matches the Rfam family "tRNA", at positions 5 to 66 of the family's 71-position model. From Rfam's summary of the family: Transfer RNA (tRNA) molecules are approximately 80 nucleotides in length. Their secondary structure includes four short double-helical elements and three loops (D, anti-codon, and T loops). Further hydrogen bonds mediate the characteristic L-shaped molecular structure. tRNAs have two regions of fundamental functional importance: the anti-codon, which is responsible for specific mRNA codon recognition, and the 3' end, to which the tRNAs corresponding amino acid is attached (by aminoacyl-tRNA synthetases). tRNAs cope with the degeneracy of the genetic code in two manners: having more than one tRNA (with a specific anti-codon) for a particular amino acid; and 'wobble' base-pairing, i.e. permitting non-standard base-pairing at the 3rd anti-codon position. The record is from Rfam by way of RNAcentral. Lineage: Eukaryota; Metazoa; Chordata; Mammalia; Rodentia; Bathyergidae.
AUGUAGCUCAGUAGUACAGCACUUGUCUAGAAUGUAUGAAGCCCUAGGUUCAAUUCCUAGCAU